RNAcentral lists this ribosomal RNA (253 nucleotides) under uncultured bacterium. RNAcentral describes it as "partial 16S ribosomal RNA". It matches the Rfam family "Bacterial small subunit ribosomal RNA", at positions 524 to 776 of the family's 1533-position model. The record is from RNAcentral.
UACGAAGGGGGCUAGCGUUGUUCGGAAUUACUGGGCGUAAAGCGCACGUAGGCGGGUUGUUAAGUCAGGGGUGAAAUCCUGGAGCUCAACUCCAGAACUGCCUUUGAUACUGGCAAUCUAGAGACUGGAAGAGGUUAGUGGAAUUCCCAGUGUAGAGGUGAAAUUCGUAGAUAUUGGGAAGAACACCAGUGGCGAAGGCGGCUAACUGGUCCAGCACUGACGCUGAGGUGCGAAAGCGUGGGGAGCAAACAGG